RNAcentral lists this ribosomal RNA (402 nucleotides) under uncultured bacterium. RNAcentral's name for it is "bacterial SSU rRNA". It matches the Rfam family "Bacterial small subunit ribosomal RNA", at positions 355 to 774 of the family's 1533-position model. The record is from RNAcentral.
UGGGGAAUCUUGCACAAUGGGGGCAACCCUGAUGCAGCGACGCCGCGUGAGCGAUGAAGCCCUUCGGGGCGUAAAGCUCUUUCGACCGGAACGAUAAUGACGGUACCGGGAGAAGAAGCUGCGGCUAACUACGUGCCAGCAGCCGCGGUAAUACGUAGGCAGCAAGCGUUGUUCGGAGUUACUGGGCGUAAAGAGUGCGUAGGCGGUUUUCUAAGUUCGGUGUGAAAUCUCCCGGCUUAACUGGGAGGGUGCGCCGAAGACUGGGAAGCUGGAGUGUGGGAAAGGCAGGCGGAAUUCCUGGCGUAGCGGUGAAAUGCGUAGAUAUCAGGAGGAACACCGGCGGUGUAGACGGCUUGCUAGACCAUAACUGACGCUGAGGCACGAAAGCGUGGGUAGCAAACA